This 66-nucleotide transfer RNA is filed under the name Lefua costata (eightbarbel loach). Its description in RNAcentral is "tRNA-Ser". The record is from RNAcentral. Lineage: Eukaryota; Metazoa; Chordata; Actinopteri; Cypriniformes; Nemacheilidae.
AGGAAGGCCCUGAGGCUAUAAGUACUGCUAAUACUUAUAUCCACGGUUAAACUCCGAGGUUUCCUU